UGCUGUCGAACGGUAAGGUCUCUUCGGAGAUACACGAGUGGCGCACGGGUGCGUAACGCGUAUGCAACCUACCUCUGACUGGGGAAUAGCCCCGAGAAAUCGGGAUUAAUGCCCCAUAACAACCGGGAAUCUCAUGUUUUCCGGUUAAAAGUUCCGACGGUUGGAGAUGGGCAUGCGUGACAUUAGCUAGUUGGUGAGGUAACGGCUCACCAAGGCUACGAUGUCUAGGGGUUCUGAGAGGAUACUCCCCCACACUGGUACUGAGACACGGACCAGACUCCUACGGGAGGCAGCAGUAAGGAAUAUUGGGCAAUGGACGAAAGUCUGACCCAGCCAUGCCGCGUGCAGGAUGACAGCCCUACGGGUUGUAAACUGCUUUUGUACGGAAAAAAACCCCUGGUCGAGCAUCAGGGCUGAUGGUACCGUGCGAAUAAGCAUCGGCUAACUCCGUGCCAGCAGCCGCGGUAAUACGGAGGAUGCAAGCGUUAUCCGGAUUCAUUGGGUUUAAAGGGUGCGCAGGCGGAGUAAUAAGUCAGUGGUGAAAUCCUACGGCUCAACUGUAGAACUGCCAUUGAUACUG
This 580-nucleotide ribosomal RNA is filed under the name uncultured Bacteroidota bacterium. Its description in RNAcentral is "bacterial SSU rRNA". It matches the Rfam family "Bacterial small subunit ribosomal RNA", at positions 56 to 635 of the family's 1533-position model. Lineage: Bacteria; Pseudomonadati; Bacteroidota. The record is from RNAcentral.